GGGUUGUGAGGUUAAGCGACUAAGCGUACACGGUGGAUGCCCUGGCAGUCAGAGGCGAUGAAGGACGUGCUAAUCUGCGAUAAGCGUCGGUAAGGUGAUAUGAACCGUUAUAACCGGCGAUUUCCGAAUGGGGAAACCCAGUGUGAUUCGUCACACUAUCAUUAACUGAAUCCAUAGGUUAAUGAGGCGAACCGGGGGAACUGAAACAUCUAAGUACCCCGAGGAAAAGAAAUCAACCGAGAUUCCCCCAGUAGCGGCGAGCGAACGGGGAGCAGCCCAGAGCCUGAAUCAGUGUGUGUGUUAGUGGAAGCGUCUGGAAAGGCGUGCGAUACAGGGUGACAGCCCCGUACACAAAAAUGCACAUACUGUGAGCUCGAUGAGUAGGGCGGGACACGUGGUAUCCUGUCUGAAUAUGGGGGGACCAUCCUCCAAGGCUAAAUACUCCUGACUGACCGAUAGUGAACCAGUACCGUGAGGGAAAGGCGAAAAGAACCCCGGCGAGGGGAGUGAAAAAGAACCUGAAACCGUGUACGUACAAGCAGUGGGAGCACGCUUAGGCGUGUGACUGCGUACCUUUUGUAUAAUGGGUCAGCGACUUAUAUUCUGUAGCAAGGUUAACCGAAUAGGGGAGCCGAAGGGAAACCGAGUCUUAACUGGGCGUUAAGUUGCAGGGUAUAGACCCGAAACCCGGUGAUCUAGCCAUGGGCAGGUUGAAGGUUGGGUAACACUAACUGGAGGACCGAACCGACUAAUGUUGAAAAAUUAGCGGAUGACUUGUGGCUGGGGGUGAAAGGCCAAUCAAACCGGGAGAUAGCUGGUUCUCCCCGAAAGCUAUUUAGGUAGCGCCUCGUGAAUUCAUCUCCGGGGGUAGAGCACUGUUUCGGCAAGGGGGUCAUCCCGACUUACCAACCCGAUGCAAACUGCGAAUACCGGAGAAUGUUAU
This 943-nucleotide ribosomal RNA is filed under the name Shigella flexneri. Its description in RNAcentral is "partial 23S ribosomal RNA". It matches the Rfam family "Bacterial large subunit ribosomal RNA", at positions 1 to 975 of the family's 2925-position model. Lineage: Bacteria; Pseudomonadati; Pseudomonadota; Gammaproteobacteria; Enterobacterales; Enterobacteriaceae. The record is from RNAcentral.